This 269-nucleotide small RNA is filed under the name Drosophila willistoni. RNAcentral's name for it is "GK26760". The record is from RNAcentral. Lineage: Eukaryota; Metazoa; Arthropoda; Insecta; Diptera; Drosophilidae.
UAUCGAUAGGGGCUCACUCCGGGUAGCUAUCGGAAAAGAAGGUCGUGAGUUCCUACAACCCAUCCCCAAUACACGCAACAAUAAACAAUCAGGAAUGAUGUCGUCGCCGCCGCUCCAUGUGGACCGGACCUCCUCUUUCGGAUUAUCGAGGUCGAACGGGCCCUCCUUUUCCUUCGUGGCAUGUCGAUGAGGUAUCCGCUGUCAAAACCACACCAAGGAUCAUGAACAACAUGGGACUUAGGAAUAAUGAAAUACAAGAAAAAUAAAGG